UGGAAGAAAGCAGUCAUCAUGCCUGUGCCCAAAAAACCCGUCCUAAAGGAUAUAAUGAUUUCAGACCAGUUGCAUUAACCCCUGUGGUGAUGAAAUGUAUGGAAAGAUUGAUGGUGAGCAGAUGGAGAUCUGAGGAUCGUCUGGUCUUGUUGCUCUGGUCCGUGGCAGACAACCUCCAGGUCCUGGACUUCUUCAUGUACAACUUGCCAUACCUGGUAUAAGAGAAAGGAGGUCAACUUAGUGAAAUAGUCAUAUUACCUUAGAUUGAACAGUACUUUCAUUUCCUGCCCGUCGUCCAGACAGUAUUCGGG
Scophthalmus maximus (turbot) is the source of this 311-nucleotide long non-coding RNA. RefSeq lists it as uncharacterized. NCBI's taxonomy places the organism in Eukaryota, Metazoa, Chordata, Actinopteri, Pleuronectiformes, Scophthalmidae. The transcript is spliced from 2 exons. The record is from RefSeq and is a predicted model, not a curated record.